RNAcentral lists this ribosomal RNA (237 nucleotides) under uncultured bacterium. Its description in RNAcentral is "partial 16S ribosomal RNA". It matches the Rfam family "Bacterial small subunit ribosomal RNA", at positions 99 to 334 of the family's 1533-position model. The record is from RNAcentral.
CGCGCGGGUGAGUAACACGUAUCCAACCUGCCGUCUACUCUUGGCCAGCCUUCUGAAAGGAAGAUUAAUCCAGGAUGGCAUCAUGAGUUCACAUGUCCGCAUGAUUAAAGGUAUUUUCCGGUAGACGAUGGGGAUGCGUUCCAUUAGAUAGUAGGCGGGGUAACGGCCCACCUAGUCAACGAUGGAUAGGGGUUCUGAGAGGAAGGUCCCCCACAUUGGAACUGAGACACGGUCCAA